RNAcentral lists this transfer RNA (71 nucleotides) under Hymenobacter sp. RNAcentral's name for it is "tRNA-Arg". It matches the Rfam family "tRNA". From Rfam's summary of the family: Transfer RNA (tRNA) molecules are approximately 80 nucleotides in length. Their secondary structure includes four short double-helical elements and three loops (D, anti-codon, and T loops). Lineage: Bacteria; Pseudomonadati; Bacteroidota; Cytophagia; Cytophagales; Hymenobacteraceae. The record is from RNAcentral.
GCGCAGCUAGGUUAACGGUAGACCACCCCACUUCGGAUGGGCCAAUAGAAGUUCGAUUCUUCUGCCGCGCU